This 492-nucleotide ribosomal RNA is filed under the name uncultured bacterium. RNAcentral describes it as "partial 16S ribosomal RNA". It matches the Rfam family "Bacterial small subunit ribosomal RNA", at positions 29 to 507 of the family's 1533-position model. The record is from RNAcentral.
AGUGAACGCUGGCGGUAGGCCUAACACAUGCAAGUCGAACGGCAGCACAGUAAGAGCUUGCUCUUACGGGUGGCGAGUGGCGGACGGGUGAGGAAUACAUCGGAAUCUACUUUUUCGUGGGGGAUAACGUAGGGAAACUUACGCUAAUACCGCAUACGACCUACGGGUGAAAGCAGGGGAUCUUCGGACCUUGCGCGAUUGAAUGAGCCGAUGUCGGAUUAGCUGGUUGGCGGGGUAAAGGCCCACCAAGGCGACGAUCCGUAGCUGGUCUGAGAGGAUGAUCAGCCACACUGGAACUGAGACACGGUCCAGACUCCUACGGGAGGCAGCAGUGGGGAAUAUUGGACAAUGGGCGCAAGCCUGAUCCAGCCAUACCGCGUGGGUGAAGAAGGCCUUCGGGUUGUAAAGCCCUUUUGUUGGGAGAGAAAAGCAGCAGGUUAAUACCCCGCUGUUCUGACGGUACCCAAAGAAUAAGCACCGGCUAACUUCGUG